GACGAACGCUGGCGGCGUGCCUAAUACAUGCAAGUAGAACGCUGAAGAGAGGAGCUUGCUCUUCUUGGAUGAGUUGCGAACGGGUGAGUAACGCGUAGGUAACCUGCCUGGUAGCGGGGGAUAACUAUUGGAAACGAUAGCUAAUACCGCAUAAAAUUGAUUAUUGCAUGAUAGUCAAUUGAAAGGUGCAACUGCACCACUACCAGAUGGACCUGCGUUGUAUUAGCUAGUUGGUGGGGUAACGGCUCACCAAGGCGACGAUACAUAGCCGACCUGAGAGGGUGAUCGGCCACACUGGGACUGAGACACGGCCCAGACUCCUACGGGAGGCAGCAGUAGGGAAUCUUCGGCAAUGGACGGAAGUCUGACCGAGCAACGCCGCGUGAGUGAAAAAGGUUUUCGGAUCGUAAAGCUCUGUUGUAAGAGAAGAACGAGUGUGAGAGUGGAAAGUUCACACUGUGACGGUAUCUUACCAGAAAGGGACGGCUAACUACGUGCCAGCAGCCGCGGUAAUACGUAGGUCCCGAGCGUUGUCCGGAUUUAUUGGGCGUAAAGCGAGCGCAGGCGGUUAGAUAAGUCUGAAGUUAAAGGCUGUGGCUUAACCAUAGUACGCUUUGGAAACUGUUUAACUUGAGUGCAAGAGGGGAGAGUGGAAUUCCAUGUGUAGCGGUGAAAUGCGUAGAUAUAUGGAGGAACACCGGUGGCGAAAGCGGCUCUCUGGCUUGUAACUGACGCUGAGGCUCGAAAGCGUGGGGAGCGAACAGG
RNAcentral lists this ribosomal RNA (765 nucleotides) under uncultured Streptococcus sp. Its description in RNAcentral is "bacterial SSU rRNA". It matches the Rfam family "Bacterial small subunit ribosomal RNA", at positions 28 to 776 of the family's 1533-position model. The record is from RNAcentral. Lineage: Bacteria; Bacillati; Bacillota; Bacilli; Lactobacillales; Streptococcaceae.